CCUACGGGAGGCAGCAGUGGGGAAUAUUGCACAAUGGGCGAAACCCUGAUGCAGCGACGCCGCGUGAGUGACGAAGUAUUUCGGUAUGUAAAGCUCUAUCAGCAGGGAAGAAAAUGACGGUACCUGAUUAAGAAGCCACGGCUAACUACGUGCCAGCAGCCGCGGUAAUACGUAGGGGGCAGGCGUUAUCCGGAUUUACGGGUUGUAAAGGGAGGUUAGACGGUAGCGCAAGUCUGAAGUGAAAUGCCCGGGCUUAAGCGCUGAACUGCUUUGGAAACUGUGCAGCUAGAGUGCAGGAGAGGUAGGUGGAAUUCGUGGUGUAGCGGUGAAAUGCGUAGAUAUUAGGAGGAACACCAGUGGCGAAGGCGGCUUAC
RNAcentral lists this ribosomal RNA (374 nucleotides) under uncultured bacterium. RNAcentral describes it as "partial 16S ribosomal RNA". It matches the Rfam family "Bacterial small subunit ribosomal RNA", at positions 338 to 729 of the family's 1533-position model. The record is from RNAcentral.